Non-coding RNA from Macrostomum lignano, 70 nucleotides. NCBI's taxonomy places the organism in Eukaryota, Metazoa, Platyhelminthes, Macrostomidae. The record is from Rfam.
AGGGUUGUGGCCUAGUGGUUAGAGCAUCAGACUCACGACUUGAAGGUCGAGGGUUCGAUUCUUUACCCUC